Molecule: transfer RNA, 72 nt
Filed under: Ornithorhynchus anatinus (platypus)
Lineage: Eukaryota; Metazoa; Chordata; Mammalia; Monotremata; Ornithorhynchidae
Rfam family: tRNA
About the family: Transfer RNA (tRNA) molecules are approximately 80 nucleotides in length. Their secondary structure includes four short double-helical elements and three loops (D, anti-codon, and T loops).
Source: Rfam by way of RNAcentral
AGCAACGUGGCUUAGUGGAAAGAGCACGGGCUUGGGAGUCAGAGGUCAUGGGUUCUAAUCCCAGCUCUGCUU